RNAcentral lists this ribosomal RNA (492 nucleotides) under uncultured bacterium. RNAcentral describes it as "partial 16S ribosomal RNA". It matches the Rfam family "Bacterial small subunit ribosomal RNA", at positions 29 to 507 of the family's 1533-position model. The record is from RNAcentral.
AGUGAACGCUGGCGGUAGGCCUAACACAUGCAAGUCGAACGGCAGCACAGUAAGAGCUUGCUAUUACGGGUGGCGAGUGGCGGACGGGUGAGGAAUACAUCGGAAUCUACUUUUUCGUGGGGGAUAACGUAGGGAAACUUACGCUAAUACCGCAUACGACCUACGGGUGAAAGCAGGGGAUCUUCGGACCUUGCGCGAUUGAAUGAGCCGAUGUCGGAUUAGCUAGUUGGCGGGGUAAAGGCCCACCAAGGCGACGAUCCGUAGCUGGUCUGAGAGGAUGGUCAGCCACACUGGAACUGAAACACGAUACAGACGCCAGCGGGAGGCCGCAGUGGGGCAUAUUGGACUAUGGGCGCGAGGCUGAUCCAGCCAUACCGCGGGAAGUAAGAGGGCCUUCUGCUUUUAAAGCCAUUUUGUUGGGAAAGAAAAACAAAACAUUAACUCCCCGCUCGUCUGACGGUACCAAAAGAAUAAGCACCGGCUAACUUCGUG